AUUGAACGCUUUUCGGCAGGCCUAACACAUGCAAGUCGAACGGUAACAGGAAACAGCUUGCUGUUUCGCUGACGAGUGGCGGACGGGUGAGUAAUGUCUGGGAAACUGCCUGAUGGAGGGGGAUAACUACUGGAAACGGUAGCUAAUACCGCAUAACGUCGCAAGACCAAAGAGGGGGACCUUCGGGCCUCUUGCCAUCGGAUGUGCCCAGAUGGGAUUAGCUAGUAGGUGGGGUAACGGCUCACCUAGGCGACGAUCCCUAGCUGGUCUGAGAGGAUGACCAGCCACACUGGAACUGAGACACGGUCCACACUCCUACGGGAGGCAGCAGUGGGGAAUAUUGCACAAUGGGCGCAAGCCUGAUGCAUCCAUGCCGCGUGUAUGAAGAAGGCCUUCGGGUUGUAAAGUACUUUCAGCGGGGAGGAAGGGAGUAAAGUUAAUACCUUUGCUCAUUGACGUUACCCGCAAAAGAAGCACCGGCUAACUCCGUGCCAGCAGCCGCGGUAAUACGGAGGGUGCAAGCGUUAAUCGGAAUUACUGGGCGUAAAGCGCACGCAGGCGGUUUGCUAAGUCAGAUGUGAAAUCCCCGGGCUCAACCUGGGAACUGCAUCUGAUACUGGCAAGCUUGAGUCUCGUAGAGGGGGGUAGAAUUCCAGGUGUAGCGGUGAAAUGCGUAGAGAUCAGGAGGAAUACCGGUGGCCCUCAGGCGGCCCCCUGGACGAAGACUGACGCUCAGGUGCGAAAGCGUGGGGAGCAAAAAAGACCUUAUUCCCUGGUAGUCCACGCCGUAAACGAUGUCGACUUGGAGGUUGUGCCCUUGAGGCGUGGCUUCCGGAGCUAACGCGUUAAGUCGACCGCCUGGGGAGUACGGCCGCAAGGUUAAAACUCGAAUGAAUUGACGGGGGCCCGCACAAGCGGUGGAGCAUGUGGUUUAAUUCGAUGCAACGCGAAGAACCUUACCUGGUCUUGACAUCCACAGAACUUUCCAGAGAUGGAUUGGUGCCUUCGGGAACUGUGAGACAGGUGCUGCAUGGCUGUCGUCAGCUCGUGUUGUGAAAUGUUGGGUUAAGUCCCGCAACGAGCGCAACCCUUAUCCUUUGUUGCCAGCGGUCCGGCCGGGAACUCAAAGGAGACUGCCAGUGAUAAACUGGAGGAAGGUGGGGAUGACGUCAAGUCAUCAUGGCCCUUACGACCAGGGCUACACACGUGCUACAAUGGCGCAUACAAAGAGAAGCGACCUCGCGAGAGCAAGCGGACCUCAUAAAGUGCGUCGUAGUCCGGAUUGGAGUCUGCAACUCGACUCCAUGAAGUCGGAAUCGCUAGUAAUCGUGGAUCAGAAUGCCACGGUGAAUACGUUCCCGGGCCUUGCACA
This 1372-nucleotide ribosomal RNA is filed under the name uncultured bacterium. Its description in RNAcentral is "bacterial SSU rRNA". It matches the Rfam family "Bacterial small subunit ribosomal RNA", at positions 28 to 1387 of the family's 1533-position model. The record is from RNAcentral.